AGACUACUUGCAAUUGGAAUGCUUGCUUGGAUAUUAUGGCUAUCUUGAUUUGAUUCCUUGGUAUUCAUAUGAUUUGCUUGGAUAUUUCUUAUGCUUGUUGCUUGCUCAAAGUCCAAAGGAAAAUGGGUUUCUAUAUGGCAUUCUUGUCUUGUGGACUACAUCCCAUUGGUCAGAUCUUUUCAACUCUUAACUUUUAAUUUUUGUCUAGGGUAGCCUCUCCAUCUCCU
RNAcentral lists this long non-coding RNA (227 nucleotides) under Lathyrus oleraceus (garden pea). RNAcentral describes it as "Pisum sativum (pea) long non-coding RNA (PSAT_LNC007163)". The record is from RNAcentral. Lineage: Eukaryota; Viridiplantae; Streptophyta; Magnoliopsida; Fabales; Fabaceae.